RNAcentral lists this long non-coding RNA (304 nucleotides) under Lepisosteus oculatus (spotted gar). RNAcentral's name for it is "lncRNA (ENSLOCG00000022543.1)". The record is from RNAcentral. Lineage: Eukaryota; Metazoa; Chordata; Actinopteri; Semionotiformes; Lepisosteidae.
GGAAACACUACAGAAAACAGAAACUAUUCAUAUUGCUUUGGAAUGCAUUCGAAAAGGAUCUAUUCUCAUGUGUUGUGGAACAGGCAGCACAGGGGAAUUAAACCCUAACAUUGGAGCACUGGACACAGAGCUUAAUGAAGAACAUNGCUUUAGGGUAUAGAAGAAAUCGUGGGAGUGAAUGACUGUUUCACCACUAACAGAAUGAAAAACAUCACACAGAAACUCCUGGUGCUGCAGACAGAGGUGAAUAUUUUCACAACAGCAUGACUAAGUGGUUCUUUUUACAAAAUCAUACCCUAUUAGC